UAAUUGAAGAGUUUGAUCAUGGCUCAGAUUGAACGCUGGCGGCAGGCCUAACACAUGCAAGUCGAGCGGCAGCACAGAGAAACUUGUUUCUCGGGUGGCGAGCGGCGGACGGGUGAGUAAUGCCUGGGAAAUUGCCCUGAUGUGGGGGAUAACCAUUGGAAACGAUGGCUAAUACCGCAUGAUAGCUUCGGCUCAAAGAGGGGGACCUUCGGGCCUCUCGCGUCAGGAUAUGCCCAGGUGGGAUUAG
RNAcentral lists this ribosomal RNA (247 nucleotides) under Vibrio vulnificus. RNAcentral describes it as "partial 16S ribosomal RNA". It matches the Rfam family "Bacterial small subunit ribosomal RNA", at positions 1 to 244 of the family's 1533-position model. Lineage: Bacteria; Pseudomonadati; Pseudomonadota; Gammaproteobacteria; Vibrionales; Vibrionaceae. The record is from RNAcentral.